GCUGGGUGUGGUGUCGCGUGCCUAUAGUCCCAGGUACUGGGGAGGCUGAGGCUGGAGAACCCUUGAGCCCAGGAGUUCUGGGUUGUACUGUGCUAUGCCGAUUGGAUGUCCGCACUAGGUUCGGCAUCAAUAUGGUGACCUCCUGGGAAUGGGGGACCACCAGGUUGCCUAAGGAGGGGUGAAAUGGCCCGGGUCGGAAAUGGAGCAGGUCAAAACUGCCCUGCUGAUCAGUAGCGGGAUCGCACCUAUGAAUAGCCACUGCACUCCAGCCUGGGCAACAUAGCAAGACCCCGCCUCUA
Molecule: unclassified non-coding RNA, 299 nt
Organism: Callithrix jacchus (white-tufted-ear marmoset)
Lineage: Eukaryota; Metazoa; Chordata; Mammalia; Primates; Cebidae
Rfam family: Metazoan signal recognition particle RNA
About the family: The signal recognition particle (SRP) is a universally conserved ribonucleoprotein.
Source: Ensembl